Molecule: long non-coding RNA, 5887 nt
Organism: Melozone crissalis (California towhee)
Lineage: Eukaryota; Metazoa; Chordata; Aves; Passeriformes; Passerellidae
Exons: 3
Source: RefSeq, a predicted model, not a curated record
GAGGCUGUUCUGGUAGGAUCCAGCCUUACUGUAUAAUUGAGCCUACAGACACACAGGGAAAUUAUUUUGAUCUCAAGCAUCUUAAUCUGAUCUCAAAUAAUAUUUGACUAGGAAUGAGAAUUACAGCUUGGGUGCUAUGGCACACUAAAUUAAUUUCUUGCUACGGAUAACACAAACAUACUCUCCAGAUUCUGCUUAUUUCUAUCUUGACAUUUUAAUUUGAUGUUCUGCCAUGAUGAACAAUUUGCCUUAGAAUUCUCCUGCCUUAAAAUAAAGGCUGUUCAAAAGUUUAAGACUUUAUCUUUUGAGGGCAUUGCUAGCUACAUUAUAUUAUGUGUUGCUUUGACCCUUGUCUUGGACAUUCCCAGAUGUCAAUUUUAACUGGCAAAUCAUGACAUUACUCUUGUGUUGCAUCUAAGCCAUUCUGUACCACAAUGAAGAACAUUUGCUUCUCAAGAAAAGAGAGAAACAAACGGAUUUAUACUUUCUCUAAAGAAAACUAUUGCCGGACCUCUAAAUAUCCAAAUCCAAUACAUUGCUCAUACUUGAUUUACAGCAUUCCAAACACAGACUAUUGAGGAAGUUAAACUUCAGUGGUCAUACUCCUCCCUUUGUCUUCUAUUCCUGUCUGGUGUCUCAAGUGUGUAAUGUCAGAAUAUUCCCAGUAAGAUGAGCCUCCCCACACUGCUGUGGAUCUGGAAUGGGAUUGCAGGGUUUGAUUGGGACCUGAAUCGAAGAUGUCUAUCUGCUUCUCAGAAAUGGGUUUGCCCAUGUCAGCCUCUUCCAAUUAAUAGAAUUGGUCAUAAAUAGCUUAAAAGUGCUUUUAAAAAAAAUCAAUAUCUAUUAUGUUGGGGUUUGGGGUUUUUUUUUUCUCCAGUUAAUGGAGCCAAAUCAUGUCCUCUCUGUUUCUUACCUGAGCAAUGAACUCAGAGGGCUUUGCCUGAUUAUACACUUCAGGCUUUUGCUCAUUAUAAGGAUAUGGUUUGUAAUUCUGUUUUAACACAAAUUUUAGCUGCCCUAUCUGAAUGACUUUCUGGUAGUUAUACAGCUCUUAUAGUGCUGAGCAGAACCCUGUAGUCCCAAUAACUAUUGACUUUUCAGUAUUUAUUGUAAAGGGGAUCUAGUACAAGGAGCUUAAUUGGAAUCAAAUUUCAAGUGCUCUCCAUCUUGGAAGAAGGUAGUGUUCCCAUAUUGCACAUGUUAGCUAGGAGAGGUGAGGUGCUAGUAAGGGCUGUGGGGGGAGUGGGGGGGAAGUUAAACACCUCAGUUAUAGUGGUUACAAAACAGCUGAGAAACAAAAAUGUUAAAAUUGUCCUCCUCAAGAACUGUAAGGUUGCAUUUUGUAUUUACUUCUCCCCGAAUCAUCAUUUCUACUAGUAGUUUUAGUAAAUAUGUGGAGUGAGCUAUUAAUUUUUAUAAUUGAAAAUCAUAACAGUUAAACUCAGUAGAAGUUUAUGUUUACAAGAUAUACCGAGUUCUUUGAUUUACAUGGUUUAUGGCUACUCAAAUUCACCUUUUAAAUUUGCAGCAGUACUUUUAUUUAAUCCAUAGAUAAGGUGUGCUACAGCUUACUUGAAUAGUGGUGUGUGCUGAACUUGAAGAACUUAAUGAAAUGAUGGAAAAAUUAUCAAGCAAAGAUACUGUAGUACAGUGGAAAACUGCCAUGCCUGACUCAAAGGAAGAAUUUCUCAGCACAAUUUGGACAUCUAGUUAAAAAAUAAAUUUAAAUUUACUCUCGUGCAUUUCUUUUGAUUGUUUCUUCAAUAUAACUGACCAAAAUCCUCUAUAAUAUGUUGAAAAUGGAUUUCAACUUGCACACCAAUAUUCAGCUUUUAUGGGUGUCCUGCUGGCAUUGGAGGAGGAGCCAUGAAAUGGAGUUUUAAUAAUCAUUUGAUCACUCAUUUAUAGCAGUUGCUUAAAUGUCUGUAUUGAUAAGGUGUUUGACAUAAGAAGCAAGUUACCAGAUUCCUAGCAGUUCCAAAACUCGAGCAAAAUACUUUACUGUGUUAUUAUAUACUUAAUUUCACUUUAUUAACAACUUAGUUUACUAAACUCAACUUAAAAUUUUACUAUUGCAUUCAACAGAGUUUGCAUUUUUUCAAAGUGUUUUCUAGCAAUUGUUUAUUUUUAAAUCUCAGCUUCUGUAGUCUGAUUAUUAAAGAAUGAAAACUGCAUUGCUUAAACCUUUCCAAAAUAAACUCGAAGUAGAAGAUCACCGCAUGAUUUUGGUGACUCUGUAUAAAAACCUGACCACUUUUUGUCCCUUCUAUGUUUGGACAUUAAACCCAUUUCUAUAAUUUGAACUCCGCAGAAAAAAAAAUACAGAGGGCACUCUUAUUAUAAGGCUAGGAGAGAAAUAAAUGUGAAAUGCUGAGCAAAAAGCCUUAAACCUCUCAAAAACAUUUAGUACCAAGACCCAAAGACCCAACUGAAUGAAUGUAUUUUCAGCAAGAAUUGUUAGCCAAAAGUGCUGGUGGCCCAUCCAUAGAACAGCAAGGAGCUCUCCUAGAAAUCUGUCAUCAGCAAUCUUUGAUCAUGCAUGACUUGAGGUGGAGUAUGUGUGUGAUGAAGGAUUGCUUGUAAGGUGGAGGUUGUCAGUGGAGUUCUGUCAUUCGUGUGACCUCUGUGAGUAGCUCAGAGCCUUAUAGAAAGAGUGUACCACGUUGUGUUCCUGUUUUUUCUAAAACAGCAACAAAAAGAAGUUAGAGCUUCUGUUAACUUAGAACUUGAAUGAAGCUGUUGUAGUCUAUUGGCUUAAAUUGUCCUUCGAAACCCAGAGCAGUUCUGUUGAGCAUGUAUUAGUUGAUAAAAUAUGUAGAGUAGGGAGAAAAAAAUCAUUUGUACUAAAGGGAAAACAUAAGAAAUGAUGAAAAUAGUCAAGGUGGAUCUGCGAUACUUGGUAUUGAUCAGGAACUUCUGAAAUUUUAGAACAGGAGAAUCCCUCUGAAGAAAUGUUGUUUUAACAACUUGGAGGUUACCAGAAGCUCUGAAAGACAGUUCAGAAUAUAUUUUCUGAUGUCCAGAAAUCUGCAAGUGUCAAUUUUGUAUUUUAACUCCUUCCUUUUACCUGACUAUCAGGGAAGCGUGGUUGAGGCUGACCUGACAUGUCAUGAUGUCGACUUGCUAGGUGGGGUUCGCAGGGGACAUUAACCUUGGAGUUCUAGUACUUGGAAAGGAGCAGAGGAGUUGGAAAAGCUUACUAGGCUAGAGGAGCAUUCCAGGUGCAGUCAUUGUUUACCAUGGGACUGAAUAGCAUGCCAGUUGUGACAACAUCUGCAGAAGAAAUGUGCCUGAUGAUGAAGGAUAGACACUGUGAUGGGCACUAAAGCAUGGACUUGAAGUGUGCACUCUGGUGGCAGGUACUCCUAUCUGAUCCCCUGGUCUGGUGUGUCUGAGGAGGGCUUAGGUGCUGUGUGUCUUAGCUGUGGUUUUCUCCAUUUAUUAAUUUCAGUGUUGAUUGAAAUGUUUGUCUUUAUUUAUAGCAUAUCCAACAGCUGUGUUGCCACAGAGAAGGUAAGUUUAGAGCUGGGGGUGAAGGGGUUGAUAAGCUCUGGAUAGUUAAUCUGUUUGUUUUUUUUUUUUAAAUACAAUCCUUAAAGUUUAUAGACAGAUUUUGGAUGUUUUGAGUAUUUUCUUGGAGUGUCCUGAUGCUUAAGAUCAGACAGAAAACCAUUGUAAGCAAAAUCAAAAGAAAUUUUUCAUGAAGAAAAAUUAAUUCUGAAUGUUGGUUUGGGAGCUGAUGGUGAAACAAAUGGGAAGUUGUGAUCUUGGACAUUAGACAGCUGCUAAAGCCAUUACUAAAUAAACAGAGCAUUUAUUAUAUAUUUUAUGGGGAGGAGAAGAGAUUAAUUUGAGAAUUAGAUUUUUAACCAUUCUUGCAGUGUUUAUUUGUCCUGUAAGAUACAGACACAGCAAAUUCACCAGUCUGUUCAGUGAGAUAUUUUUCCUAAUUAUUUUCCUGAUUGAGAAUUAGUGUUAAUGUCACACUUGUUGCUGGAAGCUAUUGAGCUGGUCAUGCUCAUUUUUCUCUGCUGAGCUCAGUGAGUUUUGCUCUCCACUCUGUGAUGGAGGAUUGCUGGUUGCUGUUAGCUGUGCUUUAAAGACAAGAAUUCCUGGGUUUGGUCAAGUUUAGGACAUGUUUGUUCUAAAACCUAAUAAAACCAUUAGCUAAUAUAUAUCUCACUUCUCUGAUGUGGGUUAUAAGGGACUUGCCUGUCAAUACAUCUGAAUUAUUUAAUUACAUCUGGAUGUCUUCCUUAGCUAACAAAGCAAACAGUCUCAGAUAUGCUUUGCUAGGCAGAAUCAUGUAUAGACAGCAAGGUUUUAUUAUCUGUGAGGAAAAAUGCAUUAUAAGAACAUGAAAUCUAGAUGACCUUGACUGAAAACAAAGAAAUAAAAUUUUAUGAGAUACAGUAUAUUAAUGCCCUAACUUGGAUGUAGGAAUUCCUGAGCAGUAAUUUUGUUUUAAGUGCCAUUAAAGCUCUGUGUGCAAUCUGUACUUCUGCAGGAAAUGUGAAAUAUCCCAGGGACUGGCUGCCUACCUGAAGGACCCCAAUAUCUGCCUUUGAUGGCAAGUGACCUGAGCAUUGCUGUGCCCAUGGGAGCAGUUCAGGUGGGUGUGUUACCUGUAUUUGCUGACUUUUCUUGUUCUCUGCAUUGUACCAGAAACUGCACGUGUCUUGUACAAUCUGUUUGGCCCUCUUGUAAUGUCUGGUUUUCCUAAUAAACAUCUUUUGAAGUCUUUGCUUUGUGGCUGAUUUCCAAGGCUCCAAGUUCCCAUGUGUUAGGUACAUCCUUCUGAUGUAUUCUUUGGAUCAUGCAGGGAGGAGAAGAGAAACUCAUAAAUGCUUCUUUUGAAUAAAAAUCUUAUUUGAAGCUGCUGUGUCCACACAAGACCUUCACUAGUAUUUUCUAUGUUUUGAAUAUUUUCUUGGAGUGUCCUGAUGCUUAAGAUCAGAACAGGGUGGUGUGAUGUUGCAUUCAAUCAAAAUUCAGUGAAUUUCUCCUAUUAUGGAAAAAGUUUAUCCUGUGAAUAACCAACAGAAAACCAUUGUAAGCAAAAUCAAAGAAAUUUCUCAUGGAGAAAAAUGAAUUCUGAAUGUUGGUUUGGGAGAUGAUGGUGAAACAAAUGGGAAGUUGUGAUCUUGAGCUUUUAUUCCUGUGAAGUCCCAAAUCCUAUGGGGAAACUUCAGCCCCAUGAAGGUGAACUACCUUGUGCUUACAUGAAUACCAAGAGUUGGCUUCAUCCUGCCUUGCUGGUUUUUGAUUCAAAGGAGGACUGAGAAGAGAGUAGAAUGCACCCAAUGGUGUGUUUUCAAUAUUCCUCCAUUUGGUUCUUUCCAGGGAGGAUGGAAGGCAGCUUGUGUGCCCAUGCAGAUCUGGUUUCAAGUGGUGAAAAUCUGUGUGCAUGUGUGUAUUGACUUCAAAAUCCCUUUUUUUUUUCUAUGGCACGUCAUGGAGAUCAGUUUGGUUUUGUUUAUCAGUUCAGCUGGCAGGCAUUACCAGAAUCCCUCAGAAAUACAUUGGUUUUUCCUAUGCUUAAUCCUUUUUACAUGCAGCAUUGUACUAAUCUUGCUGAAUAGCAGGAAUGUAGUUUCCUGACAACAGCUACUGCAGAAGUGUAAAUUAAGAAGCUGGCAUGAGGUUAUUUUGGAGACUUGGCCAUGAAAACAGAAUUAGAGUUAAUCCUAUAACAAAUAUGUUUGGCAACUUCAAAAAACAUCCUAAACCAAACAUGUUUGGCAACUUAAAAUCCAAAAUGAUGUUUGAUUCAGCUCUAACCCUCCUCAGACAAACAAAACCUUCUCAAAUGUCUCAUUUUGGCCCAUUGUGGUGUCAGUGCUGUGUGUGCAGUCCCUGGGCACAGGCCCUGGUGUGGCCUGGCAGG